GAUGAACGCUGGCGGCGUGCCUAAUACAUGCAAGUCGAGCGAACAGACGAGGAGCUUGCUCCUCUGACGUUAGCGGCGGACGGGUGAGUAACACGUGGAUAACCUACCUAUAAGACUGGGAUAACUUCGGGAAACCGGAGCUAAUACCGGAUAACAUGUUGAACCGCAUGGUUCAACAGUGAAAGACGGUCUUGCUGUCACUUAUAGAUGGAUCCGCGCCGCAUUAGCUAGUUGGUAAGGUAACGGCUUACCAAGGCAACGAUGCGUAGCCGACCUGAGAGGGAGAUCGCCCACACUGGAACUGAGACACGGCCCAGACUCCUGCGGGAGGCAGCAGUAGGGAAUCUUACGCAAUGGGCGAAAGCCUGACGGAGCAACGCCGCGGGAGUGAAGAAGGUCUUCGGAUCGUAAAACGCUGUUAUUAGGGAAGAACAAAUGUGUAAGUAACUAUGCACGUCUUGACGGUACCUAAUGAGAAAGCCACGGCUAACUACGUG
Molecule: ribosomal RNA, 497 nt
Filed under: uncultured bacterium
Lineage: Bacteria
Description: partial 16S ribosomal RNA
Rfam family: Bacterial small subunit ribosomal RNA
Source: RNAcentral